AUUGAACGCUGGCGGCAGGCCUAACACAUGCAAGUCGAGCGGAUGAAGGGAGCUUGCUCCUGGAUUCAGCGGCGGACGGGUGAGUAAUGCCUAGGAAUCUGCCUGGUAGUGGGGGAUAACGUCCGGAAACGGGCGCUAAUACCGCAUACGUCCUGAGGGAGAAAGUGGGGGAUCUUCGGACCUCACGCUAUCAGAUGAGCCUAGGUCGGAUUAGCUAGUUGGUGGGGUAAAGGCCUACCAAGGCGACGAUCCGUAACUGGUCUGAGAGGAUGAUCAGUCACACUGGAACUGAGACACGGUCCAGACUCCUACGGGAGGCAGCAGUGGGGAAUAUUGGACAAUGGGCGAAAGCCUGAUCCAGCCAUGCCGCGUGUGUGAAGAAGGUCUUCGGAUUGUAAAGCACCUUAAGUUGGGAGGAAGGGCAGUAAGUUAAUACCUUGCUGUUCUGACGUUACCAACAGAAUAAGCACCGGCUAACUUCGUG
RNAcentral lists this ribosomal RNA (484 nucleotides) under uncultured bacterium. RNAcentral describes it as "partial 16S ribosomal RNA". It matches the Rfam family "Bacterial small subunit ribosomal RNA", at positions 30 to 507 of the family's 1533-position model. The record is from RNAcentral.